Molecule: ribosomal RNA, 447 nt
Filed under: uncultured bacterium
Lineage: Bacteria
Description: bacterial SSU rRNA
Rfam family: Bacterial small subunit ribosomal RNA
Source: RNAcentral
GCCAGACUCCUACGGGAGGCAGCAGUGGGGGAUAUUGCACAAUGGGGGGAACCCUGAUGCAGCGACGCCGCGUGGGUGAAGAAGUAUUUCGGUAUGUAAAGCCCUAUCGGCAGGGAAGAAAUUGGACGGUACCUGACUAAGAAGCCCCGGCUAACUACGUGCCAGCAGCCGCGGUAAUACGUAGGGGGCAAGCGUUAUCCGGAUUCACUGGGUGUAAAGGGAGCGUAGACGGCCAUGCAAGCCUGGAGUGAAAGCCCGGGGCCCAACCCCGGGACUGCUCUGGGAACUGUGCGGCUGGAGUGCGGGAGGGGCAGGCGGAAUUCCUGGUGUAGCGGUGAAAUGCGUAGAUAUCAGGAGGAACGCCGGCGGCGAAGGCGGCCUGCUGGACCGCGACUGACGUUGAGGCUCGAAAGCGUGGGGAGCAAACAGGAUUAGAUACCCCCGUAC